UACGUAGGGUGCAAGCGUUGUCCGGAUUUAUUGGGUUUAAAGGGUGCGUAGGUGGCUGAUUAAGUCAUGGGUGAAAGCCCGCAGCUCAACUGUGGAAUUGCCUGUGAUACUGAUUAGCUUGAGUGCGGUUGAGGCAGCUGGAAGUGGUGGUGUAGCGGUGAAAUGCAUAGAUACCACCAGGAACACCGAUUGCGAAGGCAGGUUGCUAAGCCGUAACUGACACUGAGGCACGAAAGCUUGGGGAGCAAACAGG
This 253-nucleotide ribosomal RNA is filed under the name uncultured bacterium. Its description in RNAcentral is "partial 16S ribosomal RNA". It matches the Rfam family "Bacterial small subunit ribosomal RNA", at positions 524 to 776 of the family's 1533-position model. The record is from RNAcentral.